GGGCUAUUAGCUCAAUUGGUAGAGCACUCGGCUCUUAACCGAUUGGUUUUAGGUUCGAGUCCUACAUAGCCCA
Molecule: transfer RNA, 73 nt
Filed under: Cyanobacteria bacterium SW_9_44_58
Lineage: Bacteria; Bacillati; Cyanobacteriota
Description: tRNA-Lys
Rfam family: tRNA
About the family: Transfer RNA (tRNA) molecules are approximately 80 nucleotides in length. Their secondary structure includes four short double-helical elements and three loops (D, anti-codon, and T loops).
Source: RNAcentral